CACGCCCAGAGUUGUUUGUUUGCCUCGGCUCCCCACCCGUCCGGCUCUAACCCUAGUCUACCCCAGGGAGGAAAUCGCGGAGACGAGGCCGGCAAAGUAGAUUUGGCCAAACUGUGGAGGGCAUCGGACUUUGGGCACUGCAGUAGGUGGACAGACCCAGCCCUGCAAAAGCCACAUUUUCCGCGCGCUCUGCAGGACGCCUCUCAGAGCGCUGAGUCCAGGCUACCUUCAGGAGAGCAGGUGGAGCCGAUGAGGGCAGGUUCGGGGGCGAGCGAGCAGCGCCACCCUCUCCCCGGUUUUCUUCCUCAGACCUCCUUGACAGCCACAAAGUUUCUGGUGUUGACACACUGGCAGGACUUCCCUUGCAUGGGGCAGGCCACCCUGGAGUCAAGGCCUGCGCUUCUGAGAUGAAGCUCUGGGAUUCCAGGAAGGGGGCUCCCUACCUCCUCAGCUGGAAGUGGCUCCUGAGUGCCCACCACAGGAGGAAUUCCCUACAAAUCAUCUGAAUCUUGCCUCUUUCUUCAGCUACUGAUUUUGUCCUUUUUCUGACCAAGAAGAGCAUGUCUUCUUUUCUGCCCCUUGACUGGAGCUGAGAUCGGCACAGCGGGUUUGGCCUCACAGCCUGUCUCAGGCCCUCUGAGGAAUCACGUCCAGCCCAAGGCAGACGCAUGGAGAGGGAAGGGCGGGGUGGGGGUGGGGGGGCACACCACAGGAAGCACAGGGCAUUUUCUCCAAACUCUCUCUCUCUCCCUUCCCUGGGCCUCAUUCUAACCUCCAAGUUCCCAGUUUCCCUUCUCUCCCUCACCUCAUAAGCAAAGCUGAUUUCCCUCUGGCUCUGUUCCCACCACUAACAAAGCUAGGAAUUUCUUGGCUCGGGAGCAAAGGCCUUGAGGAUCCAGGCUCUUUGGAGCCUGAUCUCUAGUGGAUCUAGGCUGACUCUAUAAGAACUGUGGUGGCUUUGGUGGCCCACAAGGUUGACCAACAUUUAGCUUCCCAUUCGUCUCCGGGGCUGGCUCCCCUCUGCACAAGCAGUCUCUGGAACUGGCACGUCUGCU
RNAcentral lists this long non-coding RNA (1055 nucleotides) under Bos indicus x Bos taurus (hybrid cattle). Its description in RNAcentral is "lncRNA (ENSBIXG00000009708.1)". Lineage: Eukaryota; Metazoa; Chordata; Mammalia; Artiodactyla; Bovidae. The record is from RNAcentral.